UCCUAAAAGGUAACGGAGGCGCUCAAAGGUUCCCUCAGAAUGGUUGGAAAUCAUUCAUAGAGUGUAAAGGCAUAAGGGAGCUUGACUGCGAGACCUACAAGUCGAGCAGGGUCGAAAGACGGACUUAGUGAUCCGGUGGUUCCGCAUGGAAGGGCCAUCGCUCAACGGAUAAAAGCUACCCCGGGGAUAACAGGCUUAUCUCCCCCAAGAGUUCACAUCGACGGGGAGGUUUGGCACCUCGAUGUCGGCUCAUCGCAUCCUGGGGCUGUAGUCGGUCCCAAGGGUUGGGCUGUUCGCCCAUUAAAGCGGUACGCGAGCUGGGUUCAGAACGUCGUGAGACAGUUCGGUCCCUAUCCGUCGUGGGCGUAGGAAAUUUGAGAGGAGCUGUCCUUAGUACGAGAGGACCGGGAUGGACAUACCUCUGGUGUACCAGUUGUCGUGCCAACGGCAUAGCUGGGUAGCUAUGUGUGGACGGGAUAAGUGCUGAAAGCAUCUAAGCAUGAAGCCCCCCUCAAGAUGAGAUUUCCCAACUUCGGUUAUAAGAUCCCUCAAAGAUGAUGAGGUUAAUAGGUUCGAGGUGGAAGCAUGGUGACAUGUGGAGCUGACGAAUACUAAUCGAUCGAAGACUUAAUCAA
This 635-nucleotide ribosomal RNA is filed under the name Staphylococcus aureus. Its description in RNAcentral is "partial 23S ribosomal RNA". It matches the Rfam family "Bacterial large subunit ribosomal RNA", at positions 2288 to 2925 of the family's 2925-position model. RNAcentral also lists the same sequence under 2 other names. The record is from RNAcentral. Lineage: Bacteria; Bacillati; Bacillota; Bacilli; Caryophanales; Staphylococcaceae.